This is a non-coding RNA of Poecilia reticulata (guppy), 598 nucleotides long. The record is from RefSeq and is a predicted model, not a curated record. Lineage: Eukaryota; Metazoa; Chordata; Actinopteri; Cyprinodontiformes; Poeciliidae.
UAGGCCGGCCCGAUUAGAACCACAGCUCUUGUGGUUCCAAGGGGCCGGGUGGAACCGGUCGGAAGUUCUAAUACAAACACGGUCGAAAACGUUCCGUUCCGUACCGUUCCCUGCAGUGCGAAAACGCCUUUAGUUUCACCUGGUUCAAAUUCUGUACAUGUGACGUCACACUUCCGGGAAUUUAGAAACCGACAGCCGCUUCAAAGGUAUCCGUUAACUGUCAUGACAGUUGCUAUGACAACAAUAAACAAGCCACAAGCUUAGAACUAGCUCUCGCCUUGUUCCUAUCUACUUAUAAACAAUGAACCUCCUGAGAACAACGCUGGAAUGAGAAACCUCCAAAGACACCAGAAAGUCUCAGAGGAUUGAAUCUGGUCUGUUUGUGAGGCAGGAAAGGCGGCCAUGUUGAAACAGAAAAUACACAUGUGAGGCUGGGAUGCAUUUCCUUCUUUGCUAAAAAGCCUCUGUCACCAUCUGCAUSUUUCUGGCAACGUUAAUGGAUUUUGAAGAUUCAUCUCGYCAUUUCUCCUGAAAAGGUUGCAGAAGCAACCCUUUUAAGGCAGUUACAUUAAAAUGUCUUCUUUGACAAUAUCUUUUA